UGAACCCUCACAACCCCUCACAGGGUGGUGGAACUGACAAUCUCAGUUCCUUGGAUCUGGGUCUGUUGAAGCACAGAGGCUUGAGCUUGAACCCACAAAGGGCAACGGCUGGGUAGGCAGCUUGCUGCAACUAGUCGGGGCCUGGAUUCUUACUGGGAGCCAAUCGGAGUUUGGACUUGUGCCAAACCCAACCUUCAU
RNAcentral lists this unclassified non-coding RNA (198 nucleotides) under Hormotilopsis gelatinosa. RNAcentral's name for it is "partial internal transcribed spacer 2". The record is from RNAcentral. Lineage: Eukaryota; Viridiplantae; Chlorophyta; Chlorophyceae; Chaetopeltidales; Chaetopeltidaceae.